RNAcentral lists this long non-coding RNA (2505 nucleotides) under Gossypium barbadense (sea-island cotton). Its description in RNAcentral is "long non-coding RNA (GBAR_LNC007243)". The record is from RNAcentral. Lineage: Eukaryota; Viridiplantae; Streptophyta; Magnoliopsida; Malvales; Malvaceae.
AAAGGGAAUAUCGAAAAUUCGAGUGGCUGAAGCUGAAGCAGCUACUUUUGAAAAUGUAUUGUUCUGAGGUAUAUUAAGAUUCAAUCUCUGGUUCAUAUUUCAUCGACAACUAAAUAAAUAGAACAAAAUAAAAAACAAAUAGCGGUAACUUAUUAGACACCGGGAUCGAUGGUAUCUAAUAAGUUCUACCUACUAUUGGAUUUGAACCAAUGACUCCCGCCGUAUGAAAGCAAUACUCUAACCACUGAGUUAAGUAGGUCAUUUAUUAUCAUAAGGAAUCAUAAAGAAAAAGAAAAGGGACCUAUUACAUAGAUGGAUUGUAAAUCCAAUAUUACUUCUAAGCAAUACCAAUCAAACUGACCAAAGGGGUAUGAUUAUGAUGUUGGAUCAUGUAAUGUUCAUCUUGACAAAGUCACUUGGAUUUAUCCAUGAUUUCUUUAUUCCUUAUUUCUAAAAAGAAUCCUAUCCCUAUCUCUAUUUCUAAAAUCCUAUUUUGAAAAUUCAAAUUAUAGAAUAAAUAUAAUAAAUAGGAUUUGGUUUGUUUAUUUUAUUAUUGUAUUGUUUAUUUUAUUAUUAUUUAUCAUUUCAAUAUAUAAUUUAAAUAUAUAUAAAUUUUAAAAAAUUACUCAGAUACCAGUGAGUGAGGCUUAUUUGGGUCGUGUUAUAAAUGCCCUGGCUAAGCCUAUUGACGGUCGGGGUGAAAUUUCAGCUUCUGAAUCUCUGUUAAUUAAAUCUCCUGCCCCAGGUAUUAUUUCGAGACGUUCCGUUUAUGAGCCUCUUCAAACAGGACUUAUUGCUAUUGAUUCGAUGAUCCCUAUAGGACGUGGUCAGCGAGAAUUAAUUAUUGGGGAUAGACAGACUGGUAAAACAGUAGUAGCCAUGGAUACGAUUCUCAAUCAGCAAGGGCAAAAUGUAAUAUGUGUUGGGAGUUCACAUUCUCAUCAUCUUUGGUAAAAUCAAGCCCGCCACGUAGACAUUCAUAAACUGCUCUACCGUAGUUCUUAGCUGAUAACCCCAAUUUAGAUUUAAUAGUACAUCCUAAUAGGGGGCGACCAUACUUGUUCAAUUUAUCUCUUUCAACCUGGAUGCCAUGAGGCGGGCCUUGGAAAGUUUUAAUAUAAGCAGUAGGGAUUCGCAGAUCCUCUAGACGUAGAGCGCGCAGGGCUUUGAACCCAAAUACAUUAACCACAAUGGAAGUAAACAUGUUAGUAACAGAACCUUCUUCAAAAAGGUCUAAAGGGUAAGCUACAUAACAUAUAUAUUAAUCUUCUUCUCCAGGAACAGGCUCAAUGUCGUAGCAUCACCCUUUGUAAUGAUCAAGGCUGGUAAGCCCAUCGGUCCACACAGUUGUCCAUGUACCAGCAGAAGAUUCAGCAACUACCGCGGCCCCUGCUUCCCCAGGCGGAACUCCGGGUUGAGGAGUUACUCGGAAGGCUGCCAAGAUAUCAGUAUCUUUGACUUCAUAUUUAGGAGUAUAAUAAGUCAAUUUAUACUCUUUAACACCAGCUUUGAAUCCAACACUUACUUUAGCCUCUAUUUGUGGUGACAUAAGUCCCUCCCUACAACUCAUGAAUUAAGAAUUCUCGCAACAACAAGGUCUACUCGAUAUAAUGAGGAGUUAAUGAAGCCUUUUCGAAGAAAUCUUUCAAAAAAUUAUCAACGAAUCUGAAAGGUUCCUUAUUAGACCAUGGUAUUUGAUUCACCAAAUACAUCAUUAUUCUAUAUUCUUUCAUAUGUAUGGUGCAACCCGAUCCGUGUUUUUCAAGUUUAUAAUUCCUUACUUGUUUUUGAAUCAAAAUUCUAAAUGCAAAUGGAAUAAAUGAAAUAGAAAUAGAUAAAUAAUAUAAAAAUAAUACUAAUAUAUAUUAGAAUAUAUAUAAUAGAAUAGAUAAAUAUAUAAUAGAAUUAAUAUUCUAACAUCUAAUAUAAAUUAUAUAUUAUAAGCUCAAUAAAAUAAGAAAUUCACCCUUGACAGUAAUAUAUGUUGUAUAUGUAAAUCCUAGAUGUGAAAACAGGCGUAAUUCGGCCCUGAAAUGAAAAAAAAGGGGAAUAUGAUGGAAAAAGGGGGGAGAGGUUGGACGUAAAGUAAAAAAAAAAUCGAUAUGCUAAAAUAAAAUAUGAAAUGAAAUUGAAACAAGGCUAAUGAGAUAGAAAUAAGGAAUCAUAAAUAGAGUUCGAGUUCGAAUUCCAUAGAUAAUAUGGAUGGUGUUGCCUAUAAUGAUGGACAAAUGAAAGACUCUCCCAAAAUUUUUAUUUAUCCACUUCCUAUUUUGAAAAUAGGUUGGUUGAACUUAAAAAUUCCUUCAUUGAAUAAGGAAACAAUCCAAUUGCAUACACUUGAAUUGGAUGGGACCAACAAAAUCGAGCGCUAACCCCCAUUUCUUAUUGAAUUAACUGAUCAACCUCCUGUCGAAGAUUAGCCAUACACUUCACAUGUUUCUAGCGAUUCACAUGGCAUCAUCAAAUGAUACAAGUCUUGGAUAAGAAUCUACAACGCACUAGAAU